This 430-nucleotide ribosomal RNA is filed under the name uncultured Alphaproteobacteria bacterium. RNAcentral describes it as "bacterial SSU rRNA". It matches the Rfam family "Bacterial small subunit ribosomal RNA", at positions 1073 to 1505 of the family's 1533-position model. Lineage: Bacteria; Pseudomonadati; Pseudomonadota; Alphaproteobacteria. The record is from RNAcentral.
UGUUGGGUUAAGUCCCGCAACGAGCGCAACCCUCGCCAUUAGUUGCCAUCAUUCAGUUGGGCACUCUAGUGGGACUGCCGGUGAUAAGCCGGAGGAAGGUGGGGAUGACGUCAAGUCAUCAUGGCCCUUACGGGCUGGGCUACACACGUGCUACAAUGGCGGUGACAAUGCGCAGCCACCUAGCAAUAGGGAGCUAAUCGCAAAAAGCCGUCUCAGUUCGGAUUGGGCUCUGCAACUCGAGCCCAUGAAGUCGGAAUCGCUAGUAAUCGCGCAUCAGCAUGGCGCGGUGAAUACGUUCCCGGGCCUUGUACACACCGCCCGUCACACCAUGGGAGUUGGCUUUACCCGAAGACGGUGCGCUAACCGCAAGGAGGCAGCCGGCCACGGUAAGGUCAGCGACUGGGGUGAAGUCGUAACAAGGUAAAUGCCA